Molecule: long non-coding RNA, 1290 nt
Filed under: Takifugu rubripes (torafugu)
Lineage: Eukaryota; Metazoa; Chordata; Actinopteri; Tetraodontiformes; Tetraodontidae
Description: lncRNA (ENSTRUG00000030436.1)
Source: RNAcentral
GCGGAAUCCUGCAACUUCCAUCCUUUAGCUCCUCUCUGCAGCAGGGCUACAAUGUUGAUGCUAAGCUGCAUAUUUACAGUACACUCACAGGCAAGAAAGAGUGUUUGCAUUACUCAUUAUAUAAAGUGUCUCUUACAUCAUUUUUGGUGUAACCUUUUACUGGGACAUGCAGGGGAAUGAACAAAGAAAGAAAAUCCCUUUGAUGAAAGUUUGGCUGCAGAGUAAACCUUUCCCUGUUUAUGGAAAGAAAUGCAUCACCAUCCGCUAAAACCGAGCACAAAGGACACAAACAAGCAUGCGACCCACAUAUUCUCCUGGUAGAAAUGACACAACCGAGUAUGAGGUGAUGAGAAGGAUUAGGGACGAGGAAUCCGCAAGGAGCAGGAGACAUAUGUUGAGUGGGUGGACAAGCAGGGAAGGGGUUUCUCUGUCCCUAGGGCCGUUCCCGACUCUGGCCUGGAAACCGUAGCGCGGCAGCAGCCAUCUUGGCUCAUUAGGAGUGAGCUGGAGAACCAACAUGCACGUCUAGGCGAAUCAGAUCAGGUUAAUAGAUGGCUGGUGCACAAAUGUGUUUGCUUGUGUUCAAGCGCGUGACUAAAUACAGCGCAACCGUGCAUUUGUCUGAGCAUUUUUAACACUCUCCAUGAAGCAGGACUAGCUUACAAUUCACCCGCGUGUUCUAACUGAGCCCUUUUUCUCACGUUGCCCCUCAACGGUGCAGCUUUCUCCAGUUUCUCCCUCACUUUUCAUCCUGAUUCUGUUGCACUCACUUCUCACAGCGUAACCAUCCCAGCCUUCCCACCGCGUCAUCAAAGGCUUUGGUUAAGACCAUGUGCGCGCUGGUUUUUUGUUUUUUUUUGCAUUUGCAUUUUACAUGGGUAGUAACCUCGCCCGAGGCCAGCAUGCUGUAGUUUGAGGACCACACACACACUCUCUCUCUCACACACACACUGUUAAAGAAGUAUGCCAGGUUUUCAUAAUUCCCAGAGAAAAGUAUUGAGUUAAAUAUAUGCUUAUCUCUCCCAGCACUGUGUUAGCAUCUGGUUUUAAUCUGUGAUGAGGGCACACGGCCUAAAUAUUAGGCCACUCGUGAUCCAGUCAGUAAAACUGCUGACUUGAAGAAACCAAAUGGGAUGUUUAGACCCUCUGGUCUAAAAGUAAAGGAUGGCAAAGCCAAUUUGAGACCAUUUCAGUUCUGAAAUGGCAGAAGAAGCAACAUGCGCUAACCAAGGUGCCGGGGUCUGUUUUUCCCUUCAAAACAAGUCUGUCAUUUACGGUCAGAGAUGCUAC